UAUAAAUUGCAAAAGGAAGAGAGUCAAAAGAAGUGAUACUGGCAAAUAGAACGGCAGCCUCUUCUCCCUGGGAACUGGCUUCAAAGGGCUGAAUCUGUCAACUGGUUGGAAUUUGUAAUUUAUGGUUCUGCAGCAAUCCAAUAUUCUUUGUCCUCAAGUGAUCCUAUUCCCAUGAAAGUUUAUGUUACACUGAUAAAAAUCAUUUUGCAAGUAAGAAUUAUAUUUUUGCAUCAUUUAUGAUAUUUUUAAAUGUAUUGUUCCGUGUGGA
Long non-coding RNA from Eptesicus fuscus (big brown bat), 268 nucleotides. RefSeq lists it as uncharacterized. The transcript is spliced from 3 exons. Lineage: Eukaryota; Metazoa; Chordata; Mammalia; Chiroptera; Vespertilionidae. The record is from RefSeq and is a predicted model, not a curated record.